Molecule: transfer RNA, 77 nt
Filed under: Acidobacteriota bacterium
Lineage: Bacteria; Pseudomonadati; Acidobacteriota
Also listed under: 6 other names
Description: tRNA-Pro
Rfam family: tRNA
About the family: Transfer RNA (tRNA) molecules are approximately 80 nucleotides in length. Their secondary structure includes four short double-helical elements and three loops (D, anti-codon, and T loops).
Source: RNAcentral
CGGGACGUAGCGAAGCCUGGUAUCGCGCACCCUUGGGGUGGGUGAGGUCGCUGGUUCGAAUCCAGUCGUCCCGACCA